Oreochromis niloticus (Nile tilapia) is the source of this 886-nucleotide long non-coding RNA. RefSeq lists it as uncharacterized. Lineage: Eukaryota; Metazoa; Chordata; Actinopteri; Cichliformes; Cichlidae. The transcript is spliced from 4 exons. The record is from RefSeq and is a predicted model, not a curated record.
AAAGAAACAAAACUGAACUCAGGCCAAGACUGCAAACUUAACAAACCAAAUGACUGCCACAAACAAACAUAACUGACCUAAACAUGAAAUGACACACAGGGGUACAUGUAAUGGCUGAUCAGACCGUUGUGACACAUGAGGGGUAACAAACAAACACAAUCAUAAAUCACAAAACAAUGCAGUACAGUCUAGUUUGUUAAUAAACUAAACACUAAAGAAGAAAAUCAAAACCAUUAAACCCUAAACUCAAAUAUUUAAUUAAAUACAAAUACUUUGUUUUUAAAUUGAAGCAAACACACAUUCUCCCCUUCAGCAGGGAGUGGUGGUGUGGUCCAAUUAUCCCUCUUUGCAUUUAGUGGUUUCAAACCCUGGCUACCAUCUUUUGUCCAGCAACUCCCGGGGAUGAUGGCAGUGCCCCAAGCAGAUUAGGGCACAGCAGGCGUGAUGCCAACUCAUGCAGCUUCUCCUUAGAAGUCACUCAGCGCCCCGUCCGUGUAGACAAAGAGCAAUAAUGGGAGAAAAAAGACACAGACUAGGCUCCUCCAGGCAGACCCAUUGCUAACCAGCCUCUGAGUGCUGAAUGAGAAGGCAGACCCCCGCCAUGCCAGAUUCACCAGGUCUUUCUCCCAGUGAGAGCGAUGAUUCAGCUUCUCAUCUGGGUCCUGUGCCAGUAUAGCAUUUACUAGCAGAUGGAUAAACAGGUUUGGAAAUCCCCUCCCUGUACUAAGUGUUCUAGGUUUCCGAGUGUUUUCCCAGUUUAGGUUUUCAUGGUUGGUUCUGUUUGCUACUCAGCCAGAAUAAACAGCUCGCUUUUUUAAAAGUAGGCUCCAGAAUGGAUGAUGGGAUGUUCGCAUGUCUUUAUGUAACACUGAGUGCGCUGAACUAA